RNAcentral lists this small nuclear RNA (103 nucleotides) under Physeter macrocephalus (sperm whale). Lineage: Eukaryota; Metazoa; Chordata; Mammalia; Artiodactyla; Physeteridae. The record is from RNAcentral.
GUGCUUUGGCAGCACAUAUAUUAAAACUGGAACGAUACAGAGAAGAUUAGCAUGGCCCCUGUGCAAGGCUGACGUGCAAAUUCGUGAAGUGUUCCAUAUUUUU